AUUGAACGCUGGCGGCAUGCUUUACACAUGCAAGUCGAACGGUAACAGCACUUCGGUGGCUGACGAGUGGCGAACGGGUGAGUAAUACAUCGGAACGUGCCUAGUAGUGGGGGAUAACUACUCGAAAGAGUAGCUAAUACCGCAUGAGAUCUAAGGAUGAAAGCAGGGGACCUUCGGGCCUUGCGCUACUAGAGCGGCUGAUGGCAGAUUAGGUGGUUGGUGGGAUAAAAGCUUACCAAGCCGACGAUCUGUAGCUGGUCUGAGAGGACGACCAGCCACACUGGACCUGGGCACGGCCCCGACCCCCACGGGGAGGCGACGGGGGGAAUUUUUGGCAAGGGGGGGAAGCCCUACUCCGCAAAGGCGCGGUAGGGAAGGAGGGCUUUGGGUUUGAAAGCUUCUUUUGUGGGGAAGAAAAAGCCCCUUUUAAAUACAGGGGGGUGAGACGGGACCCAAAAAAAAAGCCACGGCCAACCUCGUG
RNAcentral lists this ribosomal RNA (481 nucleotides) under uncultured bacterium. RNAcentral describes it as "partial 16S ribosomal RNA". It matches the Rfam family "Bacterial small subunit ribosomal RNA", at positions 29 to 507 of the family's 1533-position model. The record is from RNAcentral.